GAUGAACGCUGGCGGCGUGCCUAAUACAUGCAAGUCGAGCGAACGGACGAGAAGCUUGCUUCUCUGAUGUUAGCGGCGGACGGGUGAGUAACACGUGGAUAACCUACCUAUAAGACUGGGAUAACUUCGGGAAACCGGAGCUAAUACCGGAUAAUAUUUUGAACCGCAUGGUUCAAAAGUGAAAGACGGUCUUGCUGUCACUUAUAGAUGGAUCCGCGCUGCAUUAGCUAGUUGGUAAGGUAACGGCUUACCAAGGCAACGAUGCAUAGCCGACCUGAGAGGGUGAUCGGCCACACUGGAACUGAGACACGGUCCAGACUCCUACGGGAGGCAGCAGUAGGGAAUCUUCCGCAAUGCGCGAGAGCCUGACGGAGCAACGCCGCGUGAGUGAUGAAGGUCUUCGGAUCGUAAAACUCUGUUAUUAGGGAAGAACAUAUGUGUAAGUAACUGUGCACAUCUUGACGGUACCUAAUCAGAAAGCCACGGCUAACUACGU
RNAcentral lists this ribosomal RNA (496 nucleotides) under uncultured bacterium. Its description in RNAcentral is "partial 16S ribosomal RNA". It matches the Rfam family "Bacterial small subunit ribosomal RNA", at positions 28 to 506 of the family's 1533-position model. The record is from RNAcentral.